UACAGAGGUCCCAAGCGUUGUUCGGAUUCACUGGGCGUAAAGGGUGCGUAGGUGGCGGGGUAAGUUUGAUGUGAAAGCUCAGGGCUUAACCCUGAAAUGGCAUUGAAUACUACUCUGCUGGAGGUUUGGAGGGGGGACUGGAAUUCUUGGUGUAGCAGUGAAAUGCGUAGAUAUCAAGAGGAACACCAGUGGCGAAGGCGAGUCCCUGGACAAUACCUGACACUGAGGCACGAAAGCCAAGGGAGCAAACAGG
RNAcentral lists this ribosomal RNA (253 nucleotides) under uncultured bacterium. Its description in RNAcentral is "partial 16S ribosomal RNA". It matches the Rfam family "Bacterial small subunit ribosomal RNA", at positions 524 to 776 of the family's 1533-position model. The record is from RNAcentral.